RNAcentral lists this ribosomal RNA (460 nucleotides) under uncultured bacterium. RNAcentral's name for it is "partial 16S ribosomal RNA". It matches the Rfam family "Bacterial small subunit ribosomal RNA", at positions 338 to 795 of the family's 1533-position model. The record is from RNAcentral.
CCUACGGGAGGCAGCAGUGAGGAAUAUUGGUCAAUGGACGAGAGUCUGAACCAGCCAAGUAGCGUGAAGGAUGACUGCCCUAUGGGUUGUAAACUUCUUUUAUAUGGGAAUAAAACAGGGUAUGCAUACCCUCUUGUAUGUACCAUAUGAAUAAGGAUCGGCUAACGCCGUGCCAGCAGCCGCGGUAAUACGGAGGAUCCGAGCGUUAUCCGGAUUUAUUGGGUUUAAAGGGAGCGUAGGUGGAUUGUUAAGUCAGUUGUGAAAGUUUGCGGGUCAACCGUAAAAUUGCAGUUGAAACUGGCAGUCUUGAGUGCAGUAGAGGUGGGCGGAAUUCGUGGUGUAGCGGUGAAAUGCUUAGAUAUCACGAAGAACUCCGAUUGCGAAGGCAGCUCACUGGACUGCAACUGACACUGAUGCUCGAAAGUGUGGGUAUCGAACAGGAUUAGAUACCCUAGUAGUC